GACGAACGCUGGCGGCGUGCUUAACACAUGCAAGUCGAACGGAAAGGCCCUGCUUUUGUGGGGUGCUCGAGUGGCGAAAGGGUGAGUAACACGUGAGUAACCUGCCCUUGACUUUGGGAUAACUUCAGGAAACUGGGGCUAAUACCUGAUAGGAGCUCCUGCUGCAUGGUGGGGGUUGGAAAGUUUCGGCGGUUGGGGAUGGACUCGCGGCUUAUCAGCUUGUUGGUGGGGUAGUGGCUUACCAAGGGUUUGACGGGUAGCCGGCCUGAGAGGGUGACCGGCCACAUGGGGACGGAGAUACGGCCCAGACUCCUACGGGAGGCAGCAGUGGGGAAUAUUGCACAAUGGGCGGAAGCCUGAUGCAGCAACGCCGCGUGCGGGAUGACGGCCUUCGGGGUGUAAACCGCUUUCGCCUGUGACGAAGCGUGAGUGACGGGAAUGGGUAAAGAAGCACCGGCUAACUACGU
RNAcentral lists this ribosomal RNA (467 nucleotides) under uncultured bacterium. RNAcentral describes it as "partial 16S ribosomal RNA". It matches the Rfam family "Bacterial small subunit ribosomal RNA", at positions 28 to 506 of the family's 1533-position model. The record is from RNAcentral.